CCUACGGGAGGCAGCAGUGGGGAAUAUUGCGCAAUGGGGGAAACCCUGACGCAGCAACGCCGCGUGAGUGAGGAAGGACUUCGGUCUGUAAAGCUCUGUUAAUGAGGAAAAAUGGUAGUUGGUCUAAUAGGCCGAUUAUUUGAUGGUACUCAUAGAGGAAGCACCGGCUAACUUCGUGCCAGCAGCCGCGGUAAUACGAAGGGUGCAAGCGUUGUUCGGAUUUAUUGGGCGUAAAGCGCGCGUAGGCGGACCUGCAAGUCAGAUGUGAAAUCUCGAGGCUCAACCUCGAAACUGCGUCUGAAACUACAGGUCUAGAAUCUCGGAGGGGGAAGGGGAAUUUCGCAUGUAGGGGUAAAAUCCGUAGAUAUGCGAAGGAACACCAGAGGCGAAGGCGCCUUCCUGGACGAGUAUUGACGCUGAGGCGCGAAAGCGUGGGGAUCAAACAGGAUUAGAUACCCUGGUAGUCCACGCUGUAAACGAUGAACACUAGGUAUUGGAGGAUUUGACCCCUUCAGUGCCGUAGCUAACGCGUUAAGUGUUCCGCCUGGGAAGUACGGUGCAAGACUAAAACUCAAAGGAAUUGACGG
RNAcentral lists this ribosomal RNA (587 nucleotides) under uncultured bacterium. RNAcentral's name for it is "bacterial SSU rRNA". It matches the Rfam family "Bacterial small subunit ribosomal RNA", at positions 338 to 916 of the family's 1533-position model. The record is from RNAcentral.